UUUCGCAAUGCCCGAAAGGGUGACGAAGCGACGCCGCGUGUGGGAAGAAGGCCUUCGGGUUGUAAACCACUGUCGGGAGUUAGGACAUGCAGGUGCGUUAAUAGCGCACUUGCUUGACUAAGGCUCCAGAGGAAGCCACGGCUAACUCUGUGCCAGCAGCCGCGGUAAUACAGAGGCGGCAAGCGUUGUUCGGAAUUAUUGGGCGUAAAGAGCACGUAGGCGGCCUUGCAAGUCAGUUGUGAAAGCCUUCCGCUUAACGGAAGAACGGCAUCUGAUACUACAGGGCUUGAGUACGGGAGGGGAGAGUGGAACUUCUGGUGGAGCGGUGAAAUGCGUAGAUAUCAGAAGGAACGCCGGCGGCGAAAGCGACUCUCUGGCCCGAAACUGACGCUGAGUGUGCGAAAGCUAGGGGAGCAAACGGGAUCAGAUACCCCGGUAGUCCUAGCCGUAAACGAUGGGCACUAAGUAGAGGGGUUUU
This 478-nucleotide ribosomal RNA is filed under the name uncultured Planctomycetales bacterium. Its description in RNAcentral is "bacterial SSU rRNA". It matches the Rfam family "Bacterial small subunit ribosomal RNA", at positions 364 to 832 of the family's 1533-position model. The record is from RNAcentral. Lineage: Bacteria; Pseudomonadati; Planctomycetota; Planctomycetia; Planctomycetales.